This 451-nucleotide ribosomal RNA is filed under the name uncultured bacterium. Its description in RNAcentral is "partial 16S ribosomal RNA". It matches the Rfam family "Bacterial small subunit ribosomal RNA", at positions 28 to 507 of the family's 1533-position model. The record is from RNAcentral.
GAUGAAUGCUGGCGGCGUGCCUAACACAUGCAAGUCGAGCGGCAGCGAGGGGUGCUUGCACCCUGUCGGCGAGCGGCGAACGGCUGAGUAACGCGUAGGAAUUUGCCCCAAAGUGAGGAAUAACUGCCCGAAAGGGUAGCUAAUGCCGCAUAUGGUCUUCGGAUUAAAGGAUUUAUCCGCUUUGGGAGAAGCCUGCGUUGGAUUAGGUUGUUGGUAGGGUAAUGGCCUACCAAGCCGACGAUCCAUAGCUGGUCUGAGGGGAUGAUCAGCCAGACUGGAACUGAGACACGGUCCAGACUCCUACGGGAGGCAGCAGUGAGGAAUCUUCCACAAUGGGCGAAAGCCUGAUGGAGCAACGCCGCGUGAAGGAUGAAGGCCUUCGGGUUGUAAACUUCUUUUAUGAGUGAAGAAUAUGACGGUAACUCAUGAAUAAGCACCGGCUAACUACGUG